Molecule: long non-coding RNA, 1906 nt
Filed under: Mus musculus (house mouse)
Lineage: Eukaryota; Metazoa; Chordata; Mammalia; Rodentia; Muridae
Description: long non-coding RNA chr1:66772172-66774078
Source: RNAcentral
ACAUUCCAAUUAAGUCUCAAUGAUACAAAGGAUGACACUCAAAAAUUAAGUAAAACCAGUGGAAAACUAUUUUAAUAAUAGAACCAGGCAUAAAUGACAGCAUAAAGAAAACUGGAGAAAUAUUUUAAACCAUGAUUUCAAUAUAAUCAGAAGAAUUAAAGAAAAAUUUUUUACUUAAGACCAAUGUCAUUUGAGAAUGGAAUGGCUAUUUAAUAUGAUUUUCAUUGGGAUAUGCAUAUUCUACUUUGCUAUACUGGAAAUUUCUUAAUAUAACUAAUAUGAUUAUGAAUAUAAAAAUCAAUGUAAAAUUAUGAUGAUAUAUGCCAAUCUUCUGUGCCCACCUCUAGAUCUAAGGUCUUUUUAAGUUACAAUGAACUGGAGACCAAGGGAAAAACUAUACCAAACAGAAAUCAUGGUAACAAGGCAGUAAUUGCAGAGCUAAUGCUAUCCAUGGCGUGAAAUCAUGGUACCAAGGCAGUACUUGCAGAGCUAAUACUAUCCAUGGUAUGAGCUUCAGAAGCACUAAAAUUCCUAGAAAUGCACCUCCUCAUGGGAAGCUUUUAUGACUGCAUUAAUUCCAUGAACUCUUUUGUCUAAAACUGUACCUAUGAUCCACUGAUUGUAGUAUUGUAGUCCUUAAUGUAGAAGAAAAAUAGUUGUAUUAGGUAUUAAUCAACAAAGUCAAAAUAAAAUAAGCCAAAUUCAGAAACCAAACUACUCAAGUGACACCUACCUUCUGGAAAUGCCAUUAGCCAGACAUUUGUGGCUACAGGAUUUGGAAGAGAGGGGUGAUGAAGUUGGAGACAAGUUGAGAGGGGCAAUCAAACUGUUAAUGAUCUCAGUCAACUGUGCACUCUACAAAGAAACAGUUAACACUUUAGUGUAGCUAAGCAUCAUGAAGAUCCUGAAUUCUGUCCUGAGAAUUCUUAUAUUGUAUUUAUUGAUUUACACAUACUGAAGAAUUCUUACAUCACUAAAAUGACGCCUAUUUAGUCACAGUGUUUUUUAAAAAUGUGUUCCCAUUGGCCUACUAUCAAGACCUCACCUUAUGACCAAAUUACACAUCUAUGGGUUAAUCUCUCAGGAUCUAAAUGACCCAAUCACCCCUCAAGAGCUGGGAUUAUGACCUAGGGACUAAUGCUGAAUACAUGUGACUUUUGGAGAAACAUUUGAUAUCUAAAUCUUGCCAAGCAGUUUAAGAAGCAAAAAUGUAUCUAAAGUUAUUUCGUAAAGCAAGAACUCUACAUACCUGUUUCUCUAUGUUUCGAAGAAGUAGUGUAGGGCUGCUUGGUGACAUCUCAAAAUCGUGUUCUGGUAAAGGCUCUUCACUCCUCUGGGGAACCUGAGAAUUCACUGAAGUGUUUAAUGAAACUGCUUGGUUUGAAAACUGUAUUUGUUUUUUCAAAAUGUCUUUUGGAAGCUGACAUUCUUCUAAGAUCACUAUCCCCUAGGGGGUAAAAAACAGUAAAGUGAUCACAUCCUACUAUCCUCAUAGGAAACAUAAGAUGAAGAAUUGAAAAUAUAGUUUAUAUGUCUAAAACAGCUGGCUGAUUAGGCUGGGAGAGAUGGCUCAGCAAUAAAAGUAUGUACUAUUUAUUCUUUCAGAGGAACUAGUUUGCUCCCAGCACCUGUCGGUCAGUCUCCAGCCAUGGGCAGUCUCCAACUCCACACCUCCAGCUCCAGGGCAUCCAACCGACUGUUAUGGCCUCUGUGUGUGGUAUGCACACGCACACACACACAUGGAGAAAUUUCAAAACAGUAUAUUUUAUGCCCUGUGUGAUUAUACCUCUAAGGAAAGAUAGUAGACUAGAAACUGCCUCUAUGUGUCUAUGCCAUAGUUACAGAAAAGUGCCAAGAUUUUAAAAAAAUAAAUGUAAGUAAGUAAAUAAAUAAAAGGCCUUAAUCC